This is a long non-coding RNA of Culex quinquefasciatus (southern house mosquito), 753 nucleotides long. RefSeq lists it as uncharacterized. The transcript has 3 exons. The record is from RefSeq and is a predicted model, not a curated record. NCBI's taxonomy places the organism in Eukaryota, Metazoa, Arthropoda, Insecta, Diptera, Culicidae.
GAAGACGCGGCGCGCGUUGGUCUUCUUUUGUUCGUUGGGUGCUGCAUCACAAGUGGGCCGAAUAGCCAAGGUGGAGUUUCUGCUAAUUCAUUAGUGCAAACUUCAGUUCCGCGGACCGGAGAACUCCUGUGCUGGUGCGCGAGUCGCUGAACGAGUUUUGCAGCGAAGGUUGAGUUAUUUUCGCUGGCAAAGGCCGGGAAGGAGAUCGAUACUCAUUCAACACGGUUCCCAGUGUAGCGAAGACAAGAAAGCGCGAUGGCGGCUAGUAGCACGAACCGUCGUGUUGUGGACUCGAAGGAGAUGUGCUGUUCGUGAUGACUGGCAAUCAAAGAGGUUGCUGGUGGAGUGGAGCAAACGAAAUGACCUUCUACUGAAGACGAAAUGCGAAACGACAUGGAGAUUUCGAACGAGGACACGUGUGGUGCUGGAUGCGGCAGAUACCGUCCGUUUAGGGGUGUCUCUGAACGGAAAGGAACAAAACGUAAAAAACGCAAAAAGUGACUAUUUUAAAUUCCUGAACAAUAUUUUCAUUCGAAUAGUACAAAAAGUUGUAUUAGAUUUUUGGUUGAUUCAUAACCUUGCUUUAUAUACAUUACUUUGUUAUCAUUUCAUUAAUGAGUUCGAUUAACUUUAGUUUUAAGCAAAGGGGGAAGGACUGUUGAGUACCCUCGUUUGAGUACUAGUCAAAUGACAGCACAAAUACAUGUAACGCGCGUUCUCUAACUUACCUUAAAUAAACGAGCUUGUGCUCUA